RNAcentral lists this ribosomal RNA (271 nucleotides) under uncultured soil bacterium. RNAcentral describes it as "partial 16S ribosomal RNA". It matches the Rfam family "Bacterial small subunit ribosomal RNA", at positions 26 to 285 of the family's 1533-position model. The record is from RNAcentral.
AGAAUCAACGCUGGCGGCGUGCCUAACACAUGCAAGUCGUACGCGAAAGGGGCUUCGGCCCUGAGUAGAGUGGCAAACGGGUGAGUAACACGUGGGUGACCUGCCUUCGAGUGGGGGAUAACGUCCCGAAAGGGACGCUAAUACCGCAUGACAUCCUGCCCUUGGAAAGGCGGAGAUUAAAGCCGGGGAUCGCAAGACCUGGCGCUUGAAGAGGGCCCGCGCCUGAUUAGCUAGUUGGUGGGGUAAUGGCCUACCAAGGCAACGAUCAGUA